Molecule: long non-coding RNA, 1464 nt
Organism: Grus americana (Whooping crane)
Lineage: Eukaryota; Metazoa; Chordata; Aves; Gruiformes; Gruidae
Exons: 7
Source: RefSeq, a predicted model, not a curated record
CGCAGUUUAACCUGGGGAGUACUGAAGAGGCCCGUGCCCUUGUCCACCCAGUCUUUUCCUCUGUAGAACCUUUCUGUAAGCUCCUGUUCACGUGAGGAAGUGUGGGCCAUCCUUGCCUAGGCGGCUGUUUUAUGCUUUAAUUACACUAGAAAAACUGAUUCUUCAUUUUUCUUUCCCUUUAGAAAUAAGGAGAUGAAGUUUAGCUUGGGCACACUUAACGAGGCCGCUAUCCCCUGUCAUAUUCUAUGUGUGGCCUGUGGCAUUGUGUCCUGUUGUGCUCCGGACCUGCUACCGGAGAAUCUGUAUAAAACUGGUGAGACGCGACUGUUAAAGCUAUUUCUGGUGUGACUCUGAAUUGCUCGAAGUAGGUCACGGGCCGUGGCUGAGUGAAGAGAUGAGACUUAACGAGGAGGAUAGAGAGCUGUAGCCAGAGACUUUGGAGUGAAAAGGCAGAAGCGAGCUCCAGAAGAGAACAAAACUGUCUCUACCCAGAAUGAAUGAGUUGGCAACAGCCAGAAGAGCCAAGAAUGCUCCGUGAGGCACUGUGUAAACUCCACGCUUCCAGAUCCUUGCUUUAAGGGGCACUAGCCACGCUGCUUCCAGCAUCUGCGAAAGGCACUGAGCGACGCUAAAGAGCCUUCGCUGCGCGUUGGAGUCUGGGAUGCCCGUCUCUCUCCAAUGGGGCUAGGAGCCUUUGGAAAUGAUCACCCAUUUUCUGCUGAAGCUGCUUGGGAAAAUGACGGUUGAGGAACAUCUCGAUCUCUCCCGCAUCGUAGCUGUGCUCUCCGGAACUUGGUGAUGAAGGGAGGCUGUCAGUUCCAGGAGUACCCAAGAUGUCAUGUUGUAAGCAUCUCGUGAUGCUCAGUAGGUACCCUGCAGGCCAGGUUUGCCUCCCGGUCGUUAAGCAUACUGAAGGCCGCGCUGAGGACGUGGUUGCCCGUCCCUCCCUUGGGGAUGCCGUCGACUGCACCCGCCUCGCCUGUGCCUGGCCUGGCUCGCCUCGUGGCGUGGGGGCGAAAAGGGACAGGCGGCGGCGGAGCGCUUACCGGCCGUGGACAGGAGCUGCCCUAAGGGAAGCUGGAAUGGCCAGAGAAAGGUGAAGAAGAAGAAGAAGAAGAGAUGGAAGGCUCUCCGGCCGGCAGCUGCCUCCCGCUGCAGGCAAGAGAGCGCCUGCCUCGCCGGGCGGAGGACAGCCGAGCGACCGGAGUGACAGCAAAGGAAAGGCGGAGAGCAGGAGAAAGAAGCGUCUGCGCUGGCAAGCUCUCCCGGCAGCGCCGAGAGCCAGAGCUGCGGUGAGUCCUGGGCCCGCGGGGCCCCAUCGCCUCUCCUCUGCGUCGCGGGCCCUCCUCUGCCCCCCUCGCUUUCCCACCCCGCUGUGGGGUUUUUUGGUUUGCUUUCUGCUCCCCGCUAUGUUCUUUUUCCAUCUCGCUCUGACGGGCUGCCUGUCCCCACCUUUUUUAGGUC